AACGAACGCUGGCGGCGUGCCUAACACAUGCAAGUCGUGCGGGAAAGCGGGGGCGAACUCCGCAAGUACAGCGGCGCACGGGUGAGUAACACGUAGGUAACCUACCUCAGAGCCUGGGAGUAACCUGUCGAAAGACGGGCUAAUACCGGAUAAGACCACGAGGGCUGCGGUCCUUGGGGCGAAAUGGUGGCCUCUACUUGUAAGCUACCACUCAGAGAUGGGCCUGCGCGCCA
RNAcentral lists this ribosomal RNA (233 nucleotides) under uncultured bacterium. Its description in RNAcentral is "partial 16S ribosomal RNA". It matches the Rfam family "Bacterial small subunit ribosomal RNA", at positions 29 to 240 of the family's 1533-position model. The record is from RNAcentral.